ACACACACACACACACACACACAGCACCCAAUCUACAUAAUGAUUCAGCAAGAGCUAGGGAUGGACACCUUACUUCAUUUCUGGUCCUUGGUAGUUUUGCAAGUAUCCAUUCAUACCUUUUCCAAGUAUAUUCUGCCUUACUCUACUAAAAACAAAAGAAUCUGUUCAAAGAUUAAUUUUUAAACAUGUAUUUAAAUAUUUUAAUACUAUUUUACCACAAAUUACACAUUUCAAAACAUACAUUAUCCUAGGGCCGGCACUUCUAUAUGCAUUUUGGUACAUUGUGGUGUUUGUUUGUUUUUUGUGUGUUUUUGAGCAAAGAAUUGCACUGCAAAAUUUAUAGUAUUGAAAAAUCUGAAUUACAACUUCAUGCUGAUCCACACAUUAGUGAGGGAGGUAUGGAUCUGAUCAGUUCAUAUCAGAAUUUGC
This is a non-coding RNA of Podarcis lilfordi (Lilford's wall lizard), 429 nucleotides long. The record is from the annotation of a GenBank genome assembly. NCBI's taxonomy places the organism in Eukaryota, Metazoa, Chordata, Lepidosauria, Squamata, Lacertidae.